AAGUCGUAACAAGGUUUCCGUAGGUGAACCUGCGGAAGGAUCAUUAACACGUAUCCAAACGUAAAAAACCCCCCCCGUGAACAUUCAAUCCUGCUCUUGUAACCCGCGUAGUUCGCAAUCUCUGGUAAAUCAUAGCCCGGAAAGUAGUUUUGAUUCAGAGACCUCUGGCUCCGUGAGAACAUUGGCAUUGUUUCCCCAAGCAGUCAGUUUCUGAAAGUGUCACUGAUUGUGCAAGGAUAGCGCUUCAACGAUUCCUGUAGACCGUACACUCGCCUUAUAACCCCACAGUUUAAUGUGAAGCUCAAUGUAAUACAUUGGGUAAAAAAACCGAACAACUGUUAACAAUGGAUAUCUUGGUUCUC
RNAcentral lists this unclassified non-coding RNA (362 nucleotides) under fungal sp. RNAcentral describes it as "partial internal transcribed spacer region". The stretch from base 1 to 46 matches the Rfam family "Eukaryotic small subunit ribosomal RNA", at positions 1786 to 1831 of the family's 1831-position model. Lineage: Eukaryota; Fungi. The record is from RNAcentral.